RNAcentral lists this transfer RNA (72 nucleotides) under Bacteroidota bacterium. RNAcentral's name for it is "Bacteroidetes bacterium (activated sludge metagenome) tRNA-Arg". It matches the Rfam family "tRNA". From Rfam's summary of the family: Transfer RNA (tRNA) molecules are approximately 80 nucleotides in length. Lineage: Bacteria; Pseudomonadati; Bacteroidota. RNAcentral also lists the same sequence under 1 other name. The record is from RNAcentral.
GCCCCCAUAGGCUAAUGGAUAAACCUUCUGACUACGGAUCAGAUAUUAGAGGUUCGAAUCCUCUUGGGGGUA